Molecule: ribosomal RNA, 482 nt
Filed under: uncultured bacterium
Lineage: Bacteria
Description: partial 16S ribosomal RNA
Rfam family: Bacterial small subunit ribosomal RNA
Source: RNAcentral
GACGAACGCUGGCGGCGUGCUUAACACAUGCAAGUCGAACGGAGAUAAUUAGUAGUAAUAUUAAUUAUCUUAGUGGCGGACGGGUGAGUAACACGUGGGUAACCUGCCCUAUGGGGGGGGAUAACACUCAGAAAUGGGUGCUAAUACCGCAUAACGUAACUAGAACGCAUGUUCUGGAUACCAAAGGUUUACUACCAUAGGAUGGACCCGCGGCCCAUUAGCUAGCUGGUGAGGUAACGGCCCACCAAGGCGACGAUGGGUAGCCGAUCUGAGAGGAUGAACGGCCACAUUGGAACUGAGACACGGUCCAGACUCCUACGGGAGGCAGCAGUGGGGAAUAUUGCACAAUGGGGGAAACCCUGAUGCAGCAACGCCGCGUGAGUGAAGAAGGCCUUCGGGUUGUAAAACUCUGUCUUAGCUGACGAUAAUGACGGUAAGCUAGGAGGAAGCCACGGCUAACUACGUGCCAGCCGCCGCCGUAA